CCUACGGGUGGCAGCAGUGAGGAAUAUUGGUCAAUGGACGCAAGUCUGAACCAGCCAUGCCGCGUGCAGGAAGACGGCUCUAUGAGUUGUAAACUGCUUUUGUACGAGGGUAAACGCAGAUACGCGUACCUGUCUGAAAGUAUCGUACGAAUAAGGAUCGGCUAACUCCGUGCCAGCAGCCGCGGUAAUACGGAGGAUUCAAGCGUUAUCCGGAUUUAUUGGGUUUAAAGGGUGCGUAGGCGGUCGGAUAAGUUAGAGGUGAAAGCCCGAGGCUCAACUGCGGAAUUGCCUCUGAUACUGUUCGGCUAGAGAGUAGUUGCGGUAGGCGGAAUGUAUGGUGUAGCGGUGAAAUGCUUAGAGAUCAUACAGAACACCGAUUGCGAAGGCAGCUUACCAAGCUACUUCUGACGUUGAGGCACGAAAGUGUGGGGAGCAAACAGGAUUAGAUACCCUUGUAGUC
This 460-nucleotide ribosomal RNA is filed under the name uncultured bacterium. Its description in RNAcentral is "partial 16S ribosomal RNA". It matches the Rfam family "Bacterial small subunit ribosomal RNA", at positions 338 to 795 of the family's 1533-position model. The record is from RNAcentral.